Molecule: ribosomal RNA, 253 nt
Filed under: uncultured bacterium
Lineage: Bacteria
Description: partial 16S ribosomal RNA
Rfam family: Bacterial small subunit ribosomal RNA
Source: RNAcentral
GACAGAGGAUGCAAGCGUUAUCCGGAAUUAUUGGGCGUAAAGCGUCUGUAGGUGGCUUUUCAAGUCCGCCGUCAAAUCCCAGGGCUCAACCCUGGACAGGCGGUGGAAACUACCAAGCUGGAGUACGGUAGGGGCAGAGGGAAUUCCCGGUGGAGCGGUGAAAUGCGUAGAGAUCGGGAAGAACACCAACGGCGAAAGCACUCUGCUGGACCGAUACUGACACUCAGGGGCGAAAGCUAGGGGAGCGAAUGGG